This is a long non-coding RNA of Mastomys coucha (southern multimammate mouse), 14061 nucleotides long. RefSeq lists it as uncharacterized. The record is from RefSeq and is a predicted model, not a curated record. The transcript is spliced from 2 exons. Lineage: Eukaryota; Metazoa; Chordata; Mammalia; Rodentia; Muridae.
GCUUUUGUUUUUGUUUUUGUUUUUGUUUUGAGAAAGGGUUUUUCUGUGAAGCCCUGGCUGUCCUGGAACUCCUUCCAUAGCCCAGGCUGGCCUCAGGCCACCACAGCACAUCACUUGACUUUUUAGUAGUUGGCUGAGAUGGACUUUCAUAAAUACUAAUUGAACUUAACCUCAACAUUAGGGUGCUUCUGAUUUGCAAACCACUGGAGAAUCUUCUCAAUCUUUGGAAUCCCGGAGGCAAUUGCAUCUUUUCUUAAGCCGGAUCCAUUAUGGAAAAAACUUGGAGACAGAUGCUGUUUCUUCUGUUAAGCUUCUAUAGUGCUGGCUUUGUGUCUCCUAGCCAUCAAAGUGAGCAUGAUAAGCCCUCAUGCUGAGCAGCACCAGGAACCCCGUCCUCUCCAUCAGCAGGGGUACUUGCUGACCUGCCCUGCUGGGGAGUACUCUCUGAUGAGGCAAAGGGAUCCUAGCUCUACUGCCCUAUCCAUUAAACAGGGUUUGUUAAACAUGUGAGCUUGGUACAGUCAGAGGGGACCAGGCUCAGUUGUAUUUGGGCAGGUGUUUUCGCAGCUCCAAAGGAACAAUAUCAGCAAACUCGGUGGUACCAGUAAACUAUUUAAAAAAACUCUAGUUCUCUCGAGGUCCUUGGGUGACCGCUGUAACUGCUUCAGACCUGUGUCAUCCGGAUGUUGGAAUAUGCCUAGUCUGUCCUUGCCUUAAUAGGCAACUAGCUACCUGUCUGGAAGCCAGCACAUGGCCUCUGAGCAGGCGCAGAGUGGCAGGCUCGGUGACUCUCCAAGUGUCACAGAUACUGGGCCCCUCUCAGUGUCAGUCAGGCAUCAGAGGUGGCUUUCUUGACUUUCGCAAUGCUCUUCUGAAAUGCUAGCGUCCUCCUUCCCGGCUUGAGCUAACAGAAGAAUCUUGUCUGGUUUGGACACAAAAGUGUGGCACCCAUGUCAGGAGGCCUGAUUUUUAACAGCCCCUUAUAAAGUAGCUUCUGCCUAGUCACUCUCUCACUAGAGGACUGCCCCUUGCAGGCUCUUCCAGGCUCAUCCUCCUGCUGUCCUGGUUCUGUAAGGAUUCCGCCAGCUUUCUAACCACCAUUUUCCUCUGCACCAAUUAGUCUCCUACGUAGGGAAGCAAUCCUUUGACUGUUUAAUGACUAGCCCACGAGUAAAGUCUAAAGUUCCCCAUACACUUGAAUUUCCCAACUCACACACAAAACAAACACACACACACACACGCAGAGUCUAUUCCCAUCCUUUUAGACUAGCCUCAUAAUUCUUCACUUCAACUUGAAGAGUUGGAACUCGUCGCGUUUUUAUAUUGCAGUUGAAUGCUUCUCUUUCUCUCCUCUGCAUCUAUUUCUUCCUGGGGCCAGUUCUGGGUCACUGCUUGGCUAGUUUCCAAAUGCUUUGCUGUAUUCGUUUUCUCUAGACAGUGAGUGACAGUGGCCCCCCACUUUCUCUAACCCAGACUGAACCCUCCGCUCAUGGCCGCAGCCCUAGAGCUAUUCAAAUAUGCCUUCAUGAACUAACCUUUCCACCUUCCCUGCCAAGUCCUGGUCUGUUCGGACUGAACUGAUUCAUGAGGAACCCACUGGUGAAGCUCUUUUCCUUGUGGCUUGCUCCAGGCCUAUGCCACACAGAGUGGGAAGGAAUUCUAAGGCAAGACUCCUUCUCACAAAAACCACCUGCCAAGGCAAGUGGGCCCUGCGGGUGCACAGGGCCUCCUGCAAGGUCUAGAGAUGCCUCUCCUCUUUCUUAAUCCCUGCCUGUAGGUUGGAGUGAAGGAAAGGAAAAUCUGUAGUACUUUUUGAAGUCUUUUCUACUCAUCAGAAAAACCCAGCCAAACAUCUGCAGGCAGGGGAGGGGUGAACGGUCAUUCUACCAGCCAGGUUAGGUGACCCUUCCUCUGAUGUCAAGACUAUAUUCUGAAAAUCCAGUUCUUCAAGACAUAGUGGGUCUCCAGAGAUGGGUGGGAUCUGUUCUCCACUCAAGUGCCUACUGCUCUCCAAGGUGGAUGAUACACCCCCUACAAGCCUUCUGGCCUCAGGUCUCUGGGAUGGUAUUUGGAGUCACAUGUGUGACUCUUCAGGUGUCACAACCUUGUGGUCCCCAUGAUUUUGAUUUCAGGAAGUGUCAUGGUAUCUGAGAGUGCCAAGGACUCAGGUGGGGGUGGGGGUGGGGGUGGGGUCAUUGGUGAGAGCACGGCUGUGGCCCAUGCUUGCAAGAGUAGAGUGCAGAAAGGCAAGAAGCAGUGUUGAAACACGGUGUUGGAGAAAAGGCAACCUGAAAAUGUUCCCUCUCAAGAGUGGGCCCUCAGACCACAACCACCAGGGCCUCCUGGAAGUUUGAUAGAAUACUGUCUUUGGGACUGCACACACCCUGAAACAGCAUACCACAUGACAGGGAAGGUUCCUGUGGGUAGAGCUGAGGAGUCUUCAUGUGAUGUGUGGCCUUGACCUUGUGUGGUGGUCUGGGGGGACAUUCUCCUGGAAGCUCCACUAAGCUUGAAUGUUGGUGUCCAUGGACCUAGCUCCUCUCCCUAUAGCCUAUCAUUUCCAUUCGUUGGGCAUGUGUAUGACACAGCAGCCUCUUCCCCCUGCUUCCAGAGUGUCUGCCUUCCCUGGCUCCCCAGAUUGGGAAGCACAUCACAGGUGCCUCUCACCCUUAACUCCGGCAGAAGUUGCAGUUGGUUGGCCUGACCAUCUAGUUGGGGUCUACCACAAACAGUGCUCCCUGGCCUCUUAAGGGUGAAGUUCAAGGCUUUUGGACUCCUGGGACUCUUGGUCGCUAGGCCAAAGAUAGAUUCAUUCAUUUAAAAGUUCACUUUGUUGUGAACCUAAAAAGAUUUCUAUACCUGUGAACCCAAAACCGUACUCCUCCCUGAUGUAUGAAGUUAAUCACACACUCCUUCAGUCAAUGCACAGAUGAGUGGCUGCUGGCCUGCCUCAUAUCCUCCCCUUUGUAUCAGAAGGGGAGCCCUAAGACCAAGGUACCCCAAGGAGCAUGACGAGGAGCACAGGCCCCGAACGUGAGUCUUGCUCAGACCCCCAGUUCAAGUGGCCCAGGUGCAGAGAAAGUUUCCUUUCUUGGAGUGGAAACAGUUGGAAUUCACAUAAACUCUCUGAGCCCCAGUGUCCCCUGGGGCAGAAUGAGUACACAGAACUCUGCAGUCUCUGUAGCGCCUAUAUCUCAAACACCUACACUACAAAUUCCCAGGAUGUCAUCCUUCCCUGCGGGGUGCAGUCCUCAGGUAGACACGGUAAGGUGGACCUUUCUACAUUCUAGGACCUCAUCCCAAGGAAAACUACUAACAUGUCAGAGAAGAGAUACAGUAGUCUGAAACAUAACUCUGAUAGAAUGUAGUCUAUGACCAUGAAUAUUGGAGAGACACCUGCACACAAACCAAACUGGAUCCAAAGCUCACACGACGGCUGUUUCAGUGAUAGAAUGGGAAGCAUCAGGGUCCCCAGGGGCUGUGAUGGCUGAGAGAAAGACAGGUGGCCGGGUUGAUAGGUGUGGUCAUAAGCAAGAAGAUCUAGCCCCAUCUCCUCUUGGAGGCCUCAUCUGACAGGUUCCACAUAGGCCAGCAGGUUCCUCAUGGACCUUGCCCAGUGUCAAAGUAUAUUCACUGAGCUGCUCUCUGCCAGGGGAGAGGAGAGAACAGGUUCAGAGUUGGUACACUGUUCCAUCCGGAUGAGUGGGCUUGCGGGGAAGCCCAUGUUCCCAGUUGUGCAACGAACAUUAAGAUGGGCCACCAUCCUUACAUAUAUCAUACCUCCAUCAUUUUUCAGGCUGGAAAUGUAAAAGGGGGCGGGGAGGAAAAAAAGAAGGCUAUUUGGCAUGUGCUCUGCUUGGGAGCCAUAACCCAGGUCCUCACCUCUCUCACUUCUUCUACAGGAGGCCUCUCUCAGUCUUAGCUUUUGGUGACAUAGGUUAGAACUGGCCCUCAAAGUACAGUUGGAAGACUCACUUUUAAAUAUUUAUGGACAUGGAAGAACACAUGCUGUAUGAGGUGAGGAGGGGGGAAAAAGAAAAAAACCAGGUCAUAUGGUCCAAUUGUCAAGAGGAAAAAAGAUGCCAAGGAAAAAAUACAAGGAGCCCCAAAGGUCAUUUGUUGAGGGAGAGCUGAUGACUCACUGCUCGGGCCCUGAAGCCUUCAUGUCUCCCUCCUAGCACUUUAUUCUCUGUUGUCUCUGGCAGCUAAAUAUUUGGUGUCUCUUCUCCACUUCCCCUGCCCAUUACCACCACCUCUCCAGGCCAAGUCGUGUUCCCCAAGCCUGCCCAUUAGAAGGGUGCCACCUGACACAAGUGCACAUUCCUUAAGUGUUUUCAAAUGAUGGGUGAGAGGACGAUGAAGACACUGCAUUAGAGGGAAGAGACACCCAAACACCACUGAGAUUAACUAACUGCUUUGCCUUCUUAUAUAUACUAUUCAUGGUCCAAAAUUUGGUCAAAAAGAUUACUUUUUCAGAACCUUUUGACCAAAAAAAUCUGCUUUGUAAAGUAGCCUCAAAUGCUUUCUCCUAACUUCAAGCUGACUUCAAUGUCACUAAUCCAGAGAGCAUCAGGACUCAAUGGUGUCAGCAGUAGUGGUCACUACACAAGUUCCAGCACAACACUGGGACACGCUGUCUGAUAAGGCUUUAUAUGCCUCACUUUUAAGAACAAUGAGGCUGAGUGUUUGAAAUGUGGAGGCCUCUCAAAUCCAAGCAGGGUUUCCACAUCCAAUUCCCUCUUCCCUCCUGUGGGAAGAGGAUGGCAGAGCUAGUGUCAUGGGCUGCUUCCCCUCCCUCCACCCCCGCCCCCGCCCCCAACAAAGGCAGUCUUCUGAGAGUACCUACAAUAAGGAAAACAGAGAUGUGUACAAGAGAAAGACACUUGACCUGUGCAAUGUUCCUUCCAACCCAGCUUUGCUCCUCAGGGCCAAGCCUACUCUGCUUCUUCUAGAAGCAGGACAUGAACUGCAAAAUCCUCUCUACCUCCAGCUCCCUACUCUGCCUUUAUCCAGAGCCACCAUUCUCCCAAGCAACACUAACAACUUCAAACUCUUGCCUCACAGAAAGAGAACUGCCUCAGAAGAAUAUACCCCUGCCCCUUAUUUACCCUCUGCCCCUCUGGAGUCACUCCACAGACCUUGUUGAGGUUACCAGCCACCCCUCUGCAUGUCUGGACCCUGGCCUUGGACAGAAUCUAGUGCUGGGUAGGGACAUAAAACUGUGCAUAGCACCCAGGUCCUCAAAGGCAGGCAUCUAACUCUGCUAGUAGGGGAUCUGGGCAAACUCAACUACCAAAGCCUAGAUUUCCUCACUUGAAAGUAGAAAGUAAUACAGUCACUACUUUAUCCUGGCUGCCAUACACAAUAUCACUACUGAAUGCCUGGCAGUGUCAGGAAGUACCUUACAAGUCAUUAACACAUCCAGUUCACAAUACCCAGGCAAGACAAACUCUAACUUCGUUACAGUCAAGGAGGGGGGUGCUCACAGAAGUCAAGAGAUGCAUCUAAGCUGCAUCUAAGGUCACAUAAGGUAGCAAGCUGUAGAGUUUAAGAGUCUUACCCAGGGAGGCUGGCUUCAUAGUCCCUGGCUCAGCUUACUGUGCAAAGUGAGUCUCUCUAUAACCCAUGUAAAAUUCUUCCUGCAUUGCCUGAAACACAGUAGAAGCUCAAUAAAUAGAGGCUAGCAUAUGCCAGGCUGCUGGUGCCUGAGUAAAGCAGACACCCAUCAUGACGGGGCUCUUGUAUGGAGGCUCAUUUCCCUCCAACUCCAGUAACCUUAAAUCCAGUGAAUUCACUGUCCACCUGGCUAGCCCAGCAGGCCCACACACUGUGCCCAUGGGCCCAUGAACAACUGUAGAACACAUAACAGAGCACACCUCAAUUGUUAACUGCCUCACACCCUCACAACAUGGGACGGUCACUCCUCCUUGUCUUGUGAGAGCUGAGAACUUCAGUAUCUUAGCAAAGUAUCAGGUGGAUGGACAGUCCAGAGGGAGCCUUAAGUCCUAGCAAUAUUCCAUGCCCCUGGUUCAGCUUCCAAGUGAAAAGGAGAUUAUUCUGUUUCAUUAGCUGCUUUAUGCAGUGCUUAUCCGCUGGCUGUUCUUCACUUUUGUUACCACAACAUUUCCAGUAAUUACGUCCCAAGCACAGUGAUUCCAGCCAAAGUAAGGCGAGACGAGAACUUGGGUGCUUUACAGAGGCCUUGAGGGGAUGAGGAAGGAGAAGAAGAACCUCAGAUAAUGGCACAGAUGUCAAGGCAGGCAGAACCCGAAACAUCCUCAAGCUCUCAUAACUCAGUCAAGUGAGUAUCGUAGAGGAAAGCACUCAGUGCUGAAGCAGCAGCAAUCCCAGCACUCAUCCGCACACCCUCAAAGGGGGCAAAGGAAGACACCGGCAAAUCCCACAAAGCAGACGCCUCUGGGUAAAAGGCCUACGGCCACGUCACAAGCACCGUGUGGGCUUGUUAUUUUUAAAGUCAAUCCAAUAGGUUUGCAUCUUGGUGAGUGCAAAGCCAAAAUAAGCACAGCCAAGACAUGAAAGAGCAGAGAAAAAUGCAUCGCCAGUAGCGGGCAAUGCGCAGGCAUGAUUUUGAAAGUCACACCUUCCCCAAAUGAGAGGAAGCAUAGGAUUUUAUUGUAGAGGGGAUAUAUAUAUAUAUAUAUAUAUAUAUAUAUAUAUAUUCAUGUAGGGGUCAGCCUAUUCAUGAGUGUGCUCAGUUUAAAAAUCAAAUUCUUUAAAAAGAGCAGACAAGCAUUUGGAGGCAUGCUUAGCUCAAAGUCAUGGAGUACUUAUGGUACCUAUGUAAAAGAUUAUUAAAAUGAUAGGCAGGGAUGUCUCUGGGCCUGCUCAGUUUGCACCAUAAAGUCUUGUUGGUUUUUUAGUAGGUCUCAGAUCUUCACACAACUGACAUCGUGAUCGGAGUACCGUUUACUGCUGUUCGGUCUUCCAUCUCACAGGCAGCAACACAUGCCAAGACAAGGUCAAAAACCCAAUUUGUCGAAGAAGUCCAUAGUUCUGGGAAAGUCUCUAAAUGUACUAACCUUGCUUUUUCGCCUUCUGGAGUUCCACUUCUGGUUAGCUGUUCUUGCUAAGUGAGGAUAUGGUUUUGUUUUUGAAAACUUUACCCUGAGAAAGGCCAAGGGCUACCCUGGGAUCCUGCUGGCCAGCUGAUGAAGCCUUUCUACUGCUUAGAGCCUGUGUCCAAGGAGUCUUCUCCGGAGGACACCCUACAACAGUUGCAAAGUACUUUGUUUUGAUCUUACCUUUUGAAAUUACAUCAUUUCCCAUUUCUGUUUCCUUCAUCCAUCCCCUUCUAUAUAUUUUCCUCCUCAAAACUCACAGCCUCCUUUUAAUUGUGUGCAUACAUACCUAAAUAUGCCUGCUCAGUUCAUAUAAUGUUACUUGUAUGUAUAUGAUUUCAGGGCUGAAUUGAAUGAACAACAACUGGGGGAGUUCUUCCCAGUCACAGCAUGCCUUAGUUGCCUGUAGUUCUCCAUCUAGGGUUGGGGACCCAUAAGACAUCAGCAUGUCUUCUGUUGGCAUCCUCGUUCAGGUGUUGUUCAGGCACCCAUGCUGAUGAAACUUCAUGAGUAUAGCUUCUCUAAUGUUUCUAGGAGGCACAGUCUCAUGGUAACUCCCUGAUUCUGUGGCUUUCACAGUCUUUUCUAUGUCCUAUUCCAUGAGGCUGUGUGGGCUUUCGGUGCAGGAGUUUGUCAUUGGCCUACCAGUUGGAGCUGGGCUCCACACAGUCUCUUCUCUGCAUUCUGACCAGUUGUGAUUUUCUGUAAUGGUCUGUUGCAAAGAGACAUUUCCUUGAUAAGAACCAAGAACUACACUUAUCUAUGGGGACAAGUAUAGACAUUUCGAAUGUAGCUAGGGGUUAUGCUGGCCUGGUGGUGGUUGUAGCUUUUCCUCCGAGAUCCAUGAUUUAUCUAGCCCAAUGUAAGUUGGCUAAGUUUCCUGUACCAGGCAUGAUUUCCCGCUUGCCAAGACCAAGUAGAGAACAUUGGCUUACUAUCAAGGCAUUCAUGUCACUGUUAAAUCUUUAAGGUUAUGACACCACACUAGCCAUUGUUGUAGUUUAUAAGCAAUAAUAGCUAGGUAGGACUAUUUUCCUUGUAAAAGUAUGUGCUUGGUACUUUCAGGUCAGACCCCCAAUCCAGGCCCUCUAGGUCCUCUGCCUGAAGUUCACAUUGUCUUUAGCAAUAGGGGCUUACCUUCUACCUCUAGGGACAACCAGCAGUGUUUUGGGAGUCUCUUGGGGAGUCCUGGCCCAAAACUCAAAAAGGGGGUUCUCAUGCCAACGGCUGGUGCUUCUGUUAGACUGUAGGUUUGGGGGAAGCAUUGUCAGCCCACAAGUUAGAAAGAAAUGAUGCCUUUGAAGGUGUUAAUCAGCAAUCGACCCAAAGAUGCUUGACUUGCUUAGUCAUUAACACCAUGAUGAGAUCAGAAAUAAAAGGGAACUUUUCUAAGAGCUACCAGGGAAGACCGCCCCAGCAUGUCCCUGAACCUCAGCUUGGGGCAACUAGAAAUGGUACUGCAAAGCCCCAGGUACACUGGUAGAAUUUAGAAAGGCAAGGCCAAGGGAACUGUUUGCCCAGAACACAGUCUGAGUCAGGUCAUGGUCCACCCAGCUAUUCCUAAUACUUGCUGUGUACAAGGUCUGGCCCAAUACCACACUAUAGAUGGAGUAUACCACUCAAUUAACCUUGUACCUACCUCCUAUAUACUCAAGACCACAUACAGCUGGGGUAACAUAACAUAGAAGUGACACAGUUGCACACAGCUCUGGCAGGAGAAAGUGACUAGAAUCUAAGGUAAGGAUCUAAUGAUUUUGCCAACACUGUCACCUUCCACAAAGGACUAGCAACAGGCUCAGUCUUAUGCAGAUAAUUCUGUGGAUAGUCAGAGCUAUUCUGAUAUACAUAGUGACAGCCAUGGUAUGCUCACAAGACAGAGUUCCCCAACAAUUUAUAAACAUGCAAAUGCUCCUGGGAAGGACAAUCCUAACAUAACCCUGAGCCCAGCUUGGUGCAACCAGACAGGGCACUACAAAGACCCAGGUUCCCUGGGAGAAUUCAGAAAGGCAAGGCCAAGAGUUCCUGGGCAUACAGACUCUUGGUCCAGCAAACAGACUCUUUUACUCAUCGGGGAGCUACCACCUAAGCAGGGUGCCUCUUGGAAUAUGUGACCUUAAUUCCCAUCAGCCCAGAGCUCAGGCAUCCUCUGCCACCCUAAAUGGUCCUUAAAAGCUCUUAAGGCCCUAAAAAGGUGUCUCCCAUCUCUCCAAGUAAACAUAUUGGAGAGGGUAAGAGGUUCAUGGUCCAAGAACUACCCCUUACAAACCUGUGAGCCUGUGUGGUAACUGACUUUCCUAGCUCAGUUCCCAUGAAGACAAAGAAUUGCCAACUCCACUAUAUGGUGCUGGGACUCAGAGAAUGUUCAACCACCAGACAUGCAGUAAGCUGAUUUUUCUGAGGGAGAGCAAUGGAGGGGGAAUAUCAUUGAGAGGAAACAGAUCCUGGUCUGUGCAAAUGAUCGCAGAAUCCCAGAACAUAUUCCAGAGAUAAUGCCCACCUAAGAGACCCACUGAGAAACUGAAUAAGAAAUUAUAUGCCAAGGCUCCAGGUACAUGAAGGACCCCAAAGUUAUUGAUAAUGGUGACCAUUCCCAGACACCUAUAGCUCAUAUCUCAAUUCUUUCUCUUUUUUUCUUUUUCGGUCCCUACCUGGGCUAAGUCCAAGCCUGGGUCUUUCUCCCACACCUCAUGUCUCGCCAGCCACCUCUAGACCCUUCUUCCCAGGCCCAAUGACCUGUUCUUGAUUUUAUCAUUCACUUUCAUUCAUGUCAUUCAUCUUUCUCAAACAUGAGCCUAUGCUGUACUUUGGCAACAUCCCCCGUGUGGAGUCUUACUGCCCUUCUUAAUGUCUUUGUGAGGUAUGUGGGACUGUGGAAGCUGUAAGCGCUAACACCUGAAGCUUCUGAAGGUGUGGGAGGAGCCUGAGGGUGACUGGUUUGGACUCCAGUAACUGAAAAAGACUUUCGGGGUGGAAGCCACAAGGUUUUAUGGCUUGGUAUCUUGUCAGAGAGAUACUUGUCACUGAACAACACUAAACUAGAGCUAAUCUUUAAAUGAUCACAAGGGCUAGUGGAGAGAGCUUGCCCUGUUUCAGUGAGCUGCAAGCUGGGAAUCACACCAGGUUCUCUGCCAUUUGUUUCUUCUCGGCCACCCAGCUGGCUUCUUGCAAACUUAACAGCUCACAAUGGUCUUACCUACUCACAAGGUGGGUGUCAGAUGGACCAGUCAAACAUUUUAGAGGCUUUGCUAACAAAUACAUGUAAAUUUAUUGUGGCCCCUCCACAGCAUCAAAAAACAGCCCAUCUUCAGGAAGGUGGAGCGUGCUGGCAGAUAGUCUAGCCCACUGAGCCUAACAAUAGCAAGAAAUGCUCAGGCAGUUACCUACCAAGGGGGGAAAUACUCUGCAGACCAAAUACUCAGGCCACAGUGCAGGUAGUGGUUCCAACAACUGCCUGAAAUGCUUACGUUAUGUUGGUUGCCAACAAGAACAGGAAAUACAGUGAUCUCACCAAGUUGUUUGCUGUGUAUUUCAUGUUGAGUCCCCAAGGAGGUUUCUGAAUUCUCACAAGAGUUCUACUACAGCUGAGCUCAAAGCAAGCACUGGCUCCCACCUGUGAUGGGGAGCCACUUGGCAGGCUUGAUGGGAGCAGGUCUGUGCUUCUGCAAAGCAGAUGGAGUAGUCAUCUGACGCUGGCCACUGUCUUCAUCGAGGCUGACUCAUGAUGUUCUUUGCUGAUGUUCAUAACCUAGUCCAUCCCCUCUCCCAGAGCUAACAAUACCAAGGAGCCAAUCAAAUCUCCUGAAGUUACUUUGGGAGUGAAAGCCUCAUCAGCAGGUAUAGGGGCACGUGUUUACCCACCCUGUAGAAAUUUCUCUUCUGGUUAUUUCCCAAUUCCAUCUGAAAAGUCCCUAAAGCCAGCAUUUUACUGAAAAGGGCAGGGAAGGCACAUAACUAUAGUCUUAAGACUUCCAUAGGGACUCCCACAACCUUAGAAAAUACCAUUUUGGGUGAUUUCCCCCUCUUGCCUGCUGUGUCAGCACUUUUGGUAGGAAAUGCAGGCAAGGGGGAAGACAGGCUUGGGGAGCCAUGGACCAUCUAUCUCUUCCUUCCUAGACUCUGGUAGCUCUUAUGGAGCACAUGGGGGAAGAAAGGCUUUCUUUAUGAAGAAGAGACCAGGAUUUAAAUGGACCAGCCAUAAAUUAAUCCCUAAAACCAAAGAACAAGCUGCACUCGUAGCCAGCCCUCCACCGAAAGGGGCACUGAUGGACUGAGAGUAUGUACCUCUUUCCUCCUUGGCUGGCUCAUCCCUGGAUGUCAGGAGGAACAAGAGUGGCUGUUCAGUGCUUGAAUACAAGAUCGAUAAACCACUGGGAGAGUCAAGCAGACCACACCCAUCAAUCAAGUUCUUGGUGAUGUUCAACGCAGUAUGUUCACAUGAAUGAUCUUUAUUUAAGUGCCUAUGGUGUUGAAGUUUCAUCAAGGAUUUGGAAGGUCACUGUCCCACCACUCCUGCCAGUCAGUGAUGAGUGGCUGCCGGCCGGAUCUGUGGUGUUCACACAUAAGGCAGGAGAGUGGAGAAUCCAGCUUUUCCAGAUGGUUCAGCUGCAGUUCUGGAACCCUUGAGUUCCCAGCUCCGAGGCCGAGAGGGUGUACAGCUUUGAGGUGGCCAGCUUCCUAGAGUCACCACUGUGCUUCAGUCCAUGAUGAGAGGAGAGAGAGUCACUCACUCUGUUUGGAAACCCACCCCUCUGGCUAAUGGCAGAAGGAGGAGAGAAGCCAACCGAAAAAGUGAAAUAAAAGGAUCCCAGGAGCACAGCACACCUCACGCUGGCUUAGGCCUGAAAGACUUAGUGCCAGAGCCAGGGUGGACCUUCCCACCUACAGCCACCACCACAACCCCAGUCAGGAACUGGGGAGCCUGACAAUGUGGUGGAGCUGGCCAAGGUACAAGUUUUCACCCAGAGCAAUGGAGCAGGGCAUUAGACAGGCAAAAAUACACAAGCCCCAGGACAAAGAUGAAAAGGAAAUGAGAUAACAAGGGUCACCUUCCCAGACGUGACUCACUCCCAGGGUCCCAAAGGCAUUGCUAGUAGAUUUGCACGGAAGCAUUCCAGCUACAGCAAGUGGGGAGACUCCAUUAACCUGAGUACUGAGGCCAGGGCCUGUUUCCUCCGGGCCUCCCUGGAAUCCAGAUCCCAGGAUAGGUGCCCGCCUGAUCUCCUCAGGAACAGUGGGGAGCCCUGGAGAAUUUCCAGUCUAGUUCAGUCCAACCUAGCCUGGACUAACUUCCAACAGAGUCCUUAACAGCGUCCUUUCCUCUUCCUCUUCCCCUUCCUCCUCUUCCUCCUCCUCUUCCAGACAAACUAACAUUCAUUUAAAUUGCCACAGUGAUUUCUUAGCAAUACAUUCCUAAGACAGACACCACAGCACUGAGGCGGGACAGAGAAAUGUUUUUACAGCACACAAGGAAAUCACUGAGAGCUGCCUGGCACUUUCCAUUCCCACGAGAAGAGAAAUUAUUUGAUAGGCGUACACACCCAUCCACGCACUGAUCCCUGAUAAUUUGAAAUUCUUCUGUGGCCUAUUGUGGGAAAUCUCUUAGACAGGGUAGAUAGAUAGGAUAGGGAACUUAUACAUCCAUUCUGAAUAUCAUACAACUCUCUCCUAAAUAAAGCCAGACCUGAAGAAGCUGAAAUGAUUUGGGAGAACAAAAUGUCAGGAUUCUCCCAGGUACAUCUGAAGGUCCUUCAGGCCUUUGAGGUGUGUGUGUUGGCAAAUCUACACAUAUAUAGAGGCCAGAAAUGAACCUUGGCCAUUAUUCCUCUGGAGGCAACAAAUGUUUCACUGGAACUUGCUCACUAGGCUAGGCUGGCUGAGCAGUCAACCAGCCUACCUGUCUCCCCAUGCUGGGCCACCAUACUAAUUUUCCUUUAACAUGAGCACUAGAGACCAAACUUGUGCCCCCUACUUGUGAGGUAAUCAGGUUAUCACCCCAUUAGCUAUCUCCCCAGCCCAGCUUUUUAAAAUUCGAUCUCCUAAUUGUAGCUUUACUAUUAUCUACAGUUGUUCUAGAAAAUUCUUUGAAAUCGAUGUUCCCAUCUUCAUUUCUGAGGAAGGCAGAAAACCCCUCAAGACAAGGGUGGAAAGAGCAUUUCAAAGGGGCAUCCGAGGGUAGCCAAGGUUAACUCUCAUCUGGCGGCUGAGAACGAGCAUGACGGUGACAUUCCAGGCAGAUGCUGGACUUGUAGGGUAAAGCCAGAGUUCCAUAAAUAACAUUGGUUUGGGUUUCAACACCUCAGGUGAGAGUCGGCUCCCAGACCUUGACAGCCCGGGCUGCAGCUGACCAGCUUCCCCAUAGGACGCUGACAAGCCAGGGAAGUUUUACCUGAAAGAGAAGGAAGGACGACAAUCAUCACUUCUGCCAGAGCACGGACGCCAUCGGACUCCACCGUGGCAGUUCCCAUCCCAUGGGCCACACUGUCACACUCUGUCCCUUUCCCAUUCCUGCUGUGUGAGCAGUCUUGUCCAUCUACAGCUCUUGCUCCUCACCCAUAAGGCUUUUGAAAAAUGUGCUGUCUGAAAGGUAUAUGCCACUCUUCCAUGUAACUGUCCUCUGGAUCACACAGAAGACUCCGGGGACCCCCUGCCUCCUCCACACACAGCCCCACCCUUCUUAGAGCACAUGCUCUUUUUCCCUUCAAAUCCCUCUUUCCUAGCCCUACAGGUUUUCAGGCCAAAGCAUCCAAAGGUAACUAUUUUAAACCUUGUAGAUCCUGCAGUCUGUGUCAACUAUGAACGCUGUUGUCAUGACAAAAAGAAAAAAAAAAAAGGCAGCCAAACACAGCACAGGACAUCUGAGGAUGGCUGUGUUCAAACUUUAUGUACAGGGACUGAAAUCUGAGUUGCAAUCAACUUUUAUAUAUCCUGAAAUAAUGUUGUCCUUUUGGCUCUUUUUUUCAAACAUUAAAAUGUAGAAAUCAGA